This 356-nucleotide unclassified non-coding RNA is filed under the name soil metagenome. Its description in RNAcentral is "partial contains 5.8S ribosomal RNA, internal transcribed spacer 2, and large subunit ribosomal RNA". The stretch from base 2 to 121 matches the Rfam family "5.8S ribosomal RNA", at positions 35 to 154 of the family's 154-position model. The record is from RNAcentral.
GGAUGAAGAACGUAGCGAAAUGCGAUAAGUAAUGCGAAUUGCAGAAUUCAGUGAAUCAUCGAAUCUUUGAACGCACAUUGCGCCCGCUAGUAUUCUGGCGGGCAUGCCUGUCUGAGCGUCAUUUCAACCCUCGCCCCCGGCUUUUGCUGGGAGCGGUGUUGGGGAUCGGCCGCCCGUCACUGGGAGGCCGGCCCCGAAAUAGAGUGGCGACCACGCCGUGUGCUCCUCUGCGUAGUAGUAAAUCACCUCGCAGGCGGACAGCGGUGCGGCCUGCCGUAAAACCCCCAACUCUUUCUGGUUGACCUCAGAUCAGGUAGGAAUACCCGCUGAACUUAAGCAUAUCAAUAAGCGGAGGA